GGACGAUGGUCAAGAUUUAGUGUUAGCUGGAGCCCACAUGGAACCCCUGAAACUUGCGCAGCCAGGAAGGAGGUGGAUACGCAAGUUGCCAGCAUAAAAACACAGAGCAAAGACUAAACUCUUCUCUUGAACUCUUGCAAAAUUAAGUAAGACGAUAUGUAACAGAGCCUACAACACUAUACAAAUUUAAGAAGGUCAAGUUCAGAAAAGAUCUCAUUUGCAAUGAGAGAAGGAGAAGAAUAUUCAGCUUCAGCUUCAUCCUAAGAGUCCCCUCUUUAUCAUAAGAUGACUGCCAGCAGCAAAUGAAGUCACACAGCUCCCUGUUCAUAUUCAGUGGGAGACAGAAAAAGCC
RNAcentral lists this long non-coding RNA (352 nucleotides) under Homo sapiens (human). RNAcentral describes it as "HSALNT0331390". Lineage: Eukaryota; Metazoa; Chordata; Mammalia; Primates; Hominidae. The record is from RNAcentral.